Molecule: ribosomal RNA, 254 nt
Filed under: uncultured bacterium
Lineage: Bacteria
Description: partial 16S ribosomal RNA
Rfam family: Bacterial small subunit ribosomal RNA
Source: RNAcentral
UACGGGGGGAGCAAGCGUUGUUCGGAUUUACUGGGCGUAAAGGGCGCGUAGGCGGUCAGCACAAGUCAGUUGUGAAGUCUCCGGGCUUAACUCGGAAAGGUCAACUGAUACUGUGCGACUAGAGUGCGGAAGGGGCAACUGGAAUUCUCGGUGUAGCGGUGAAAUGCGUAGAUAUCGAGAGGAACACCUGCGGCGAAGGCGGGUUGCUGGGCCGACACUGACGCUGAUGCGCGAAAGCCAGGGGAGCGAACGGG